Molecule: ribosomal RNA, 464 nt
Filed under: uncultured bacterium
Lineage: Bacteria
Description: partial 16S ribosomal RNA
Rfam family: Bacterial small subunit ribosomal RNA
Source: RNAcentral
GACGAACGCUGGCGGCGUGCCUAACACAUGCAAGUCGAGCGAAUGAAGUUCCUUCGGGAAUGGUUUUAGCGGCGGACGGGUGAGUAACACGUGUGCAACCUGCCUCAUAGAGGGGAAUAGCCUCCCUAAAGGGAGAGUAAUACCGCAUAAGAUUGUAGUACCGCAUGAUACAGCAAUUAAAGGAGCAAUCCGCUAUGAGAUGGGCCCGCGGCGCAUUAGCUAGUUGGUGAGGUAAUGGCUCACCAAGGCGACGAUGCGUAGCCGACCUGAGAGGGUGAUCGGCCACAUUGGGACUGAGACACGGACCAGACUCGUACGGGAGGCAGGAGUGGGGAAUAUUGCAAAAUGGGGGAAACCAUGAUGCAGCAACGCCGGGUGAGUGAUGACGGCAUUCGGGUUGUAAAGCUAUGUCUUCAGGGACGUUAAUGACGGUACCUGAGGAAGAAGCAACGGCUAACUACGUG